UACGUAGGGGGCUAGCGUUGUCCGGAAUCAUUGGGCGUAAAGCGCGUGUAGGCGGUCCGGUAAGUCCGCUGUGAAAGUCGGGGGCCCAACCCUCGAAUGCCGGUGGAUACUGUCGGGCUAGAGUGCGGAAGAGGCGAGUGGAAUUCCUGGUGUAGCGGUGAAAUGCGCAGAUAUCAGGAGGAACACCAAUUGCGAAGGCAGCUCGCUGGGACGUUACUGACGCUGAGACGCGAAAGCGUGGGGAGCAAACAGG
RNAcentral lists this ribosomal RNA (253 nucleotides) under uncultured bacterium. RNAcentral describes it as "partial 16S ribosomal RNA". It matches the Rfam family "Bacterial small subunit ribosomal RNA", at positions 524 to 776 of the family's 1533-position model. The record is from RNAcentral.